This is an RNA transcript of Hemicordylus capensis (graceful crag lizard), 2097 nucleotides long. It is a transcript of the gene named pleckstrin homology domain-containing family A member 7-like, with no coding region annotated. The record is from RefSeq and is a predicted model, not a curated record. The transcript has 5 exons. NCBI's taxonomy places the organism in Eukaryota, Metazoa, Chordata, Lepidosauria, Squamata, Cordylidae.
AUAAGGAGAAAGGAGACAGAACUCCCUCACUUGGAGUUAAUUUGUGGUAAUUAGACUGAGGAAGCAGCAGAGGAAGAAUGCUGCCUUUUUGGAAUCAGUGCAGUUUGUCACUGUGUGGUUGCUGGAGGGAUUCCUGUGGUGCUCCAGCUUUGGGUGGAGGAGCAGCAACUGGACCUUGAAAGGGUUACACUGAUGCUGUGUUUCUCCUCCCUCCUGGAUUAUUUGUAGCAAAACAGAGUCUCUGUGGAAGGGCUGAGCUGCCUGUGUCUUGGAGGAACUGACUCAGGUGCGCUGCUUAGUCUUAAUUCUGUGCUUAUGUUGUAGUGGACACCAGCCACUAUUCCUUUUGGCUUAGAGGGAGCGGCAGGUAAACAGGCUAAGAAAAGGGAAGCAGCUGAGUCUCUUGGUUGUUCUGGAUUUCCAUCCCACAUCCUGGUGGAGUCUGCCGUGAAAAGGUCCUGAUGGCCACUGAGGACAUUGACUGGCUAGACCUGCCUGGCAAGUGGACUUAUGGAGUUUGCAGUGACGGGAGAAUCUUCUUUGUCAAAUUAGUUUGAAGUUAAUUUAGCUGAUGCUCCUUCAUCAGCCCCAAUAUACUGCAGGCUGCCAGUUAAUGGCAUAACCUUUGGCAAUGGGGAUGAAGCUUAAGGUCAGAAAGCCUGGAAGUAGCACCGAUGACAUGGUGAUGAAACAAAAUCAACCUGCUGGACACAUCCAGGAAGUGGCUGUCCCAUCCAGAGUGGGCACUUCACCAAGCCAGGGAUGCCUAAAGGCUGGGAAAUGGACACUACCUCAAAGGGAGCUAUCUUCUUUAUCAGAUGAAACCAAGCAGCAUACAGACAUUAAGAAAAUAACAUGUUAGAACAAUAAAAUUCCUUCUAAAAAUCCAAGUGUCAAGCAAUUGGCACUAUCAACUAUUGCAAGAUUCUUGCUUUAUAGUUAGCAUAGCAUGCAUUGGUCUCACAAUCAUUGCCAUCUGAUAUGUAGCCUCGGCCUGCUCAAGGCUGGCUCUGGGGUGGGGUGGUUGGCAAGGGGGAGCAAGCACCCACUGAAACAAGCAGUUUGCCCUCAUCUCUCCCCGAUUUCUGUGUCAGAAAUCUAACAUGUGGGGCACAGUUCACCCACCCAGAAAUGCACUUUGGCUUCCCCCACAAUUUUCCUUCCAGUGCUGCCAUUGGCCAUGGUACACACUGGACAAGCUGAGGAUGAGCAAUAUAUGAAACUGUGGUGCAGAAGGACUCAGAAGGUUACAAACUUCUGAUCGAACUUGUGCUGGUGUCAAACUUAUUCUGCUUCAAACCCAUCCAAUGUGCCUCUGUGGGUCCAGUUUACACAUGUAACUACCCUUUAUGGCUGCCAACUCUGAUUGAAGCUAUUCCUGGAGAUUCCACCACCCAUUAAAAUCUCCUGUAUUGUUUUCAGUAGUUGCCCCUGAAGAUCAAUACCAACUCCAGGUCAGCAACUCUACUGCCCAUCUGGAGUUGUGCUACAUGGUUGUUUUUCAUGUAGUUGCAUGUGUGAUUUGGGCCUAGGUUUGUUCCUGGAGUUGUUUCUGAAGGAGGUUGGAAUACUUGUGUGAAUCAGGCCCUAGAGACACUGUGUGGCACUUGUGUGAAUAGGCCCUGAAGGCACUCUUUCAGAUAAAGCUGUUCACAACAAUACUGUGCUGUUUAAGUCUUCCCUCCACAGUUAAAGGAGAUGUUAAUAAUUAUUUCUGCACUGUUCCUCUCUUCAUCAGUGAACUUAUGUUAACCUUGCCAGGGAGGUAGUUGCAAGCCAAAUGGCCUUUGAACGUCUACUAGCUGAUGUUGGCCAGAGAUCAAAGAUGAUGGGGGUGGGGAGUAAUUGCAUUGGGAGGGAAUAAUGCCACCUUGCUCACAGAAGGCAGGAGAAACUUUGUUCCUUGACUAUAGAUUUUAGAUGCAGUCGUAAUAAGCCCUGUUCAGACAUUAUCCAAACUGGGGAUCCUCUACUCUUGUACAGUGUCCCAGAGAACAUGCUUAGAAGCCUACCCAGCUGUGUGUUAAAACUCCACCCCCUCACUCUUGACGCUUCCAGAAAUUGUCUGCAGUGCACUGCAGAAACAAAUGCCGUAUU